Long non-coding RNA from Capra hircus (goat), 859 nucleotides. RefSeq lists it as uncharacterized. The record is from RefSeq and is a predicted model, not a curated record. The transcript is spliced from 2 exons. Lineage: Eukaryota; Metazoa; Chordata; Mammalia; Artiodactyla; Bovidae.
UCUAUGGGGUCGCACAGAGUCGGACACGACUGAGGCGACUUAGCAGCAGCAGCAGCAGCAGCAGUGUUCUGAAAGCUUCUUGGUUGUGUUUUUUGAACCUUUUUAGUGUUUGUUUCCUAAUCUUCCUCCAAUAUGAUUUAAGGCCAAAGGGUUUAAUUCCCUGGAACCCAGCGCCUGGCCCAUAGUAGACAUUCAAAUAUUUGUUCCCGAAAUAAUACUCGGAAUGAACCUACUCUCACCUGAAAGUAAGGGCAACCGAGAAGUGCCAGGGACACAGCCGCACGUUUGUUUAGUUUCCCUAGCUGUGAAAUGGGAAUAACGCCCCUCACACUGUUGUGAAGAUGGAGCCAAAGUAGGGCAAAUCCCUCUCCUGUUACCUCUAGCUACCUGGAAAUGUGGCUACCGGUUCUUGUUUUUCUUUUUUCCCCUGUGGGUUUCAGGAUUUAACCUGAUGUCUCAAGCUCUUCAUCAGCAAAAACGUGUUAUGGCAGGCAGAAGGGCCACCUGAAAGAGACUUAUGCCCAUCGAAGCACGGAAGCUACAGGCAUUUGACCUGCAAGCCAGGGAGACACCAUGAUUGGAGGCUUCAAGCCAGGCUUGACAGCACCUAAACCACAAGACUGAAAACCAAACCCCAGAGGGGACCAAGAGCACCUCUGAAUUCGUGCGGGACCAGAGAUGUGAGGACCAGACAUCUCCUGCUUCUCCUCGUCCUGGCACCUUACACAUUCCCUAACCAGACACAGUCCUGAGGAAGAGCACUGGCCUCCCGUGAUAAGAUUAUUGUCACUGGCAGCUAAGUGGGGCUUAAAGUAGAAAUAAAGUUCAGUUACAGAAUAAAAGUUCCAUUUGUUCCACA